AAACGUUUUCUGCAUCCAGGAUUAGCCUAAAUCCUUUGGGAUAAGGUAUCAUGGAGGGUGAGAAUCCCGUUCAUGGUUAAUCUUAAGGAAGCUCUACGAUACGUUUUCCAAGAGUCGAGUUGUUUGGGAUUGCAGCUCAAAAUGGGAGGUAAAUUUCUCCUAAGGCUAAAUAUUGGCGAGAGACCGAUAGCGAACAAGUACCGUGAGGGAAAGAUGAAAAGAACUUUGAAAAGAGAGUUAAACAGUACGUGAAAUUGUUGAAAGGGAAACGAUUGAAGUCAGUCAUACCAACGGGAAAUCAACCUUUUGAGCUUGGUUUCGUGGGUUUUGAAGAGUUUCAAAGCCUUCGGAUUCGCGAGAUUGGGAUCUCUUGGUGUACUUUUUCGUACGGUUAGUCAACAUCGGUUUUGAAUGUCAUAAAAUGACUGGAGGAAUGUAGCUUCGAUCUCGUAUUGAAGUGUUAUAGCCUUUGGUAGAUGUGAUGUUUGAGACCGAGGAUUGCAACGGAUACCCUUUAGGGCUAUUCGUCUGAUCUCUGAUACGUUGCCCUGAUGUUGAAAGCUUGC
Molecule: ribosomal RNA, 566 nt
Filed under: uncultured Glomus
Lineage: Eukaryota; Fungi; Glomeromycota; Glomeromycetes; Glomerales; Glomeraceae
Description: partial large subunit ribosomal RNA
Rfam family: Eukaryotic large subunit ribosomal RNA
Source: RNAcentral